RNAcentral lists this ribosomal RNA (215 nucleotides) under Hoplolomia scabricula. RNAcentral's name for it is "partial small subunit ribosomal RNA". The record is from RNAcentral. Lineage: Eukaryota; Metazoa; Arthropoda; Insecta; Hemiptera; Coreidae.
GAUUCAGUUAAUUUAUUUUAGAAUUGUCUAAAGUUGUGCCAGAAUACGCGGUUAUACAAUUGAUUCAAAUUAAUUUUUUCGGUUAGUAUUUAUUUUGUGGAUUGGAGUUUUAUUCAUUGUUAUUAGGUGAAAUUUUAAUUUUGAUUAUUUGCUCUUGGUUUUGAGAUUAUAUGAAAUUUAGAAUUUAAACUAGGAUUAGAUACCCUAUUAUUCUA